UCGAUGAAGAACGCAGCGAAAUGCGAUAAGUAAUGUGAAUUGCAGAAUUCAGUGAAUCAUCGAAUCUUUGAACGCACCUUGCGCCCCUUGGCUAUUCCGAGGGGCAUGCCUGUUUGAGUAUCAUGAACACCUCAACUCUCAUGGUUCGCCAUGAUGAGCUUGGACUCUGGGGGUUUUGCUGGCCCGCGGUCGGCUCCCCUCAAAUGAAUCAGCCUCCCAGUGUUUGGUGGCAUCACGGGUGUGAUAAAUAUCUACGCUUGCGGUUGUCUGCCAGGUAACCUUUGGUGACAAAGGUUUGCUGGAGCUCACAGAUGUCUCUCCUCGGUGAGGACAGCUUUUUGAACGUUCGAUCUCAAAUCAGGUAGGACUACCCGCUGAACUUAA
This 384-nucleotide ribosomal RNA is filed under the name uncultured Tomentella. RNAcentral describes it as "eukaryotic LSU rRNA". The stretch from base 1 to 123 matches the Rfam family "5.8S ribosomal RNA", at positions 33 to 154 of the family's 154-position model. Lineage: Eukaryota; Fungi; Basidiomycota; Agaricomycetes; Thelephorales; Thelephoraceae. The record is from RNAcentral.